Molecule: small RNA, 28 nt
Filed under: Bombyx mori (domestic silkworm)
Lineage: Eukaryota; Metazoa; Arthropoda; Insecta; Lepidoptera; Bombycidae
Description: ovarian small RNA-18604
Source: RNAcentral
UAACAGCCUCAACCGCGUCAUCAUUCGA